ACGGAAGGCAGCAGUGGGGAAUAUUGGACAAUGGGGGCAACCCUGAUCCAGCGACGCCGCGUGAGUGAAGAAGUAUUUCGGUAUGUAAAGCUCUAUCAGCAGGGAAGAAAAUGACGGUACCUGACUAAGAAGCCCCGGCUAACUACGUGCCAGCAGCCGCGGUAAUACGUAGGGGGCAAGCGUUAUCCGGAUUUACUGGGUGUAAAGGGAGCGUAGACGGCAACGUAAGUCUGAAGUGAAAGCCCGCGGCUUAACUGCGGGACUGCUUUGGAAACUAUGUAGCUAGAGUGUCGGAGAGGUAAGUGGAAUUCCCAGUGUAGCGGUGAAAUGCGUAGAUAUUGGGAGGAACACCAGAGGCGAAGGCGGCUUACUGGACGAUUACUGACGUUGAGGCUCGAAAGCGUGGGGAGCAAACAGGAUUAGAUACCCUGGUA
Molecule: ribosomal RNA, 434 nt
Filed under: uncultured Lachnospiraceae bacterium
Lineage: Bacteria; Bacillati; Bacillota; Clostridia; Lachnospirales; Lachnospiraceae
Description: partial 16S ribosomal RNA
Rfam family: Bacterial small subunit ribosomal RNA
Source: RNAcentral